UUCUGGACACCUGCCUGCACCUGUAAAGUCACAACAAGGAAGCCUAAAACUCAAAUGAACAGAAUAAAGUGGUGUCCAGCAAAACAUUAGAACACACCUCCAACCAAGGCACAACCAGCAAUUAUGCCGGACGGAAAAAGAGAGGACUAACAAGAAAAGAUGGAGACUAAACUUCUCUGCCUGAGGGGUGUGUGAGAAGAACACACAUCAGUUUUGGCUCACUAGAUGACUGAGGGCACAAUCCCCACAGUCUCAACACUGAAGUUCAGGACUUGUCUGUGUUUCAACUCCUGUGGACUGUUUACUGCCAGAGCUGUGGAGUGUGACAAUGGUGUUUGUGUCCAAUAUAUCAAACGCCAUUAUCACACUAAAUAGCUACUGUUAGAUAAGCCAUCAGGUCAGCAAAGGAAAAGAGCUUUAAGCAAUAAAUAUUCUGGCUGUGAGGAGGGAAUAAGUGAAGUUUUUUCUCAUAUGUCAUAAGGACUGUUCUUUUAUAAGCAAUGCUAAAAUAAUGUACAAUAAAUACUCUGCUGUACAUAAUUCCAGUUGUAAAAUUCCUUUAAGUACACAUUGUAAUGAACUUAAUACUGUCCAUUUGCUCUUACCGAGUCAUGCUUAUAUUCAUGGACUGUAAUGUUUUUAUUUAGCAAUACAAGUGGCAGUACAUUCUUCUCUUAUUUAUAUUUCUGUUACAUUAUAACUGGUAACCUGCAAUAUCUAUUUAAGCAGUGUUGUGAGUAUUUCAUGCAUUUAGUUAACAUGUUUUAGUCUGGAGCAUAUUCUUCCAUGAUAUCAUUGUGGCACUGAAUUUUGAUCAUUGUGGCACUGAAUUUUGACCUCUCUCUCUCUCUUCCUCCUCCUCCCCCUCUUCCUCUCCCUUUUCCUUUUCCUCUUCCUCUCCGCAGUAGACCAAAAGUCAAUUUAAGCUAUGCAACUUCAUCUAGGUCAAUUGAAGAAACCUGGAUCCCCGUCCUGCAGCCCUUAUAGUGUUUGGGCUUGUGGGUCUCAUGUAAAUCAAUGAAAGUCGUGGGUGCUUAAUAUCUUUCAAAAUGUUGGGUCGGCAUGUGAGCCCCAUACUUGUGUUGUAUAGUCCCCACACAUAUUCCUGUUGAACCUAACUUGGGAAAGACAGGGCUACCUCACAUAACUAAAGAUGUCACGAUCAGGCCCUUAUUUAUGUGCCUAUUUGUAAGUACCCAAGUUAGAAACAUUGGGCUUUAUGCACCUAUGUUUGAACAUUUGGCCCUAAGUAAAACCAAUGCAGGAAAGAGCAGAUAGUGAUAAUCACUGCUUCUGUAUUGUAGCAUUGGAUUAGUAAGUGGUGACCUAAGUAGAACAAUUACCUUUCAUUCAUAGCACCUAUAUGGUUCUCCUUAUUAGGAGAUGGAAAACUUUGUAUCUAACACUUGACUUACCUUUAUUUAAACAUGACAUAAAUCUGCCACUGCAGCUGCACUACACAUCCUUGAUCAAAGACAGCUUCUCUUAAGAACUGGCUAUGCUCCCAUGUUGGAUAAGUAUGAAAAAUAAAUUGUGCUGCUUGUA
Pelodiscus sinensis (Chinese soft-shelled turtle) is the source of this 1545-nucleotide long non-coding RNA. RefSeq lists it as uncharacterized. The record is from RefSeq and is a predicted model, not a curated record. Lineage: Eukaryota; Metazoa; Chordata; Testudines; Trionychidae.